Molecule: ribosomal RNA, 223 nt
Filed under: uncultured bacterium
Lineage: Bacteria
Description: partial 16S ribosomal RNA
Rfam family: Bacterial small subunit ribosomal RNA
Source: RNAcentral
UAACGCGUGGGUAACCUGCCUCAUACAGGGGGAUAACAGUUAGAAAUGACUGCUAAUACCGCAUAAGCGCACAGCAUCGCAUGAUGCAGUGUGAAAAACUCCGGUGGUAUAAGAUGGACCCGCGUUGGAUUAGCUAGUUGGUGAGGUAACGGCCCACCAAGGCGACGAUCCAUAGCCGACCUGAGAGGGUGACCGGCCACAUUGGGACUGAGACACGGCCCAA